RNAcentral lists this ribosomal RNA (497 nucleotides) under uncultured bacterium. RNAcentral's name for it is "partial 16S ribosomal RNA". It matches the Rfam family "Bacterial small subunit ribosomal RNA", at positions 29 to 507 of the family's 1533-position model. The record is from RNAcentral.
CAUGACCGCUGGCGGCGUGCCUAAUACAUGCAAGUCGAGCGAACGGAAGAGAAGCUUUCUUUUCUGAAGUUAGCGGCGGACGGGUGAGUCAAACGUGGCUAACCUACCUAUAAGACUGGGGUAACUUCGGGAAACCGGAGAUAGUACCGGAUAAUCUUUUGAAACGCAUGGAUCACAAGUGACAGACGGACUUGCUGUCACUUAUAGAUAUAUCCGCGAUGCAUUCGCUAGGUGGUAAGGUAACGGCUUACCAAGGCAACGAUGCAUAGACGACCUGAGAGGGUGAUCAGCCACUCUGGAACCUAGACACGGUCCAGACUCCUACGGUAGGCAGCAGUAGGGAAUCUUCCGCAAUGGGCGAAAGCCUGGCACAGCAACGCCGCGUGAGUGAUGAAGGUCUUCGGAGUGUAAACCUCGGUUAGUAGGGAAGAAGGCAGGUGGAAGGAACCGUGCAUGUCUUGACGGUACCAAAUCAGAAAGCCCCGGCUAACUACGUG